RNAcentral lists this ribosomal RNA (253 nucleotides) under uncultured bacterium. RNAcentral describes it as "partial 16S ribosomal RNA". It matches the Rfam family "Bacterial small subunit ribosomal RNA", at positions 524 to 776 of the family's 1533-position model. The record is from RNAcentral.
GACGAACCGUGCGAACGUUGUUCGGAAUCACUGGGCUUAAAGGGCGCGUAGGCGGGUGCCAUCGUCCGCGGUGAAAGCCCCCGGCUUAACCGGGGAACGGCCGCGGAGACGGGGCAUCUCGAGGGGUGUAGGGGCAUGCGGAACGCCGGGUGGAGCGGUGAAAUGCGUUGAUAUCCGGCGGAACUCCGGUGGCGAAAGCGGCGUGCUGGACACCUUCUGACGCUGAGGCGCGAAAGCCAGGGGAGCAAACGGG